This 301-nucleotide ribosomal RNA is filed under the name uncultured bacterium. RNAcentral's name for it is "partial 16S ribosomal RNA". It matches the Rfam family "Bacterial small subunit ribosomal RNA", at positions 509 to 807 of the family's 1533-position model. The record is from RNAcentral.
CAGCAGCCGCGGUAAUACGAAGGGUGCAAGCGUUACUCGGAAUUACUGGGCGUAAAGCGUGCGUAGGUGGUGGCUUAAGUCCGUUGUGAAAGCCCUGGGCUCAACCUGGGAAUUGCAGUGGAUACUGGAUCACUAGAGUGUGGUAGAGGAUAGUGGAAUUUCCGGUGUAGCAGUGAAAUGCGUAGAGAUCGGAAGGAACAUCUGUGGCGAAGGCGGCCAUCUGGGACAACACUGACGCUGAGGCACGAAAGCGUGGGGAGCAAACAGGAUUAGAUACCCGCGUAGUCCCUGUCUCUUAUAC